AUUAAAAACCGUGUAUCCAAAAUCGCUAUGUACACACAUAUCUAUAUCACCAUAUUUCUUAUAUGUACUUAAAAAAACUGCAAGUGAUUCACUCAUUGGGAGCACCAACUAUACGAAGAACCGGAAGUGAUCCAGCCAAGGACAGUUAUUUCGCAUAUUUAUGACUUGAUUUUCGGAGAACACCUUUACUUAGCUACCCAUUUCUAUAACUCUCAUGUUGAUGAAGGUCAUUUCCACAAAACUUUUUGCUUCAUCCCAGUUGUCAAAAUAACGGAUAUUUUUUCUAAGUUUCCGGCGGAAGUAGCAGAAGAGAGUAUGUAUGUAUAUGUUGCCUACAUAUAAAGUAAUCGGCCGACCGGUCACAUAUUAUGCAGAAUUUACAAACGGAUUUCCUAAAUAUAUUUGAAUCCAGAUAAAUAAGCUUCGAAUUUCUCCUGAAGAACACAUACACGAAGAAGCUUUCCUGUUUCCAGGUCCUGCUUUUCUUUACUAAUUAAGCUUCGGACGCAACCACAAACACUAAGAGCCAUUCACAGAGGACUAAUAAAAACCUUUUUAUACCCUCUACCAGUGAGCGGCUUUCUUGGAAUCAAAAUAUAAUCCACCGCAGAAGACGUACCAGAUGUCUCGUUACACUAAAGUGGCUUCGCGUGUUAUAACGCAUUAAACUCUUACUAAUUCAUAAUAGACCCUGACAAAUGUACAUACCUAACAUAUUCUGCAUGCUUAAUGCCGAAUGAAUGCGAUGAUACUAACCACUUCUUUUCAUGACCUCAAGCCUACUCACAUUACUUUCAUUUUUCUAUUUCCAUUACCUUUUUUUGUGGCUUCCAUUAAAUGAUUUCGAAGAUAAUUAAUUUGUACUCCCUACAAAUAGCAUUACGUUACAACUAUAACGGUUCAAAUGUCGUCUAAACAAAUGAAGUCCAUAGGGGAAGAAACUCUACUGGCCCUUCUUCCAAGGGACG
This is a long non-coding RNA of Bactrocera neohumeralis, 968 nucleotides long. RefSeq lists it as uncharacterized. The record is from RefSeq and is a predicted model, not a curated record. Lineage: Eukaryota; Metazoa; Arthropoda; Insecta; Diptera; Tephritidae. The transcript has 2 exons.